This 260-nucleotide long non-coding RNA is filed under the name Mustela putorius furo (domestic ferret). RNAcentral's name for it is "lncRNA (ENSMPUG00000026161.1)". Lineage: Eukaryota; Metazoa; Chordata; Mammalia; Carnivora; Mustelidae. The record is from RNAcentral.
AGGUAAAGGCACACUCUGUCUUUCAUGUUUUGUGUGAGAAUGUCCACCAUUUUCUGUGAGAGUGUCCACCUACACAGAAAACAGCACUUCUUCAAAAGUGUAGAACUACACAGCGCGGUAUUGUGAUGCUGAAACGUGUCACCCAACAGGGAGUGAAGCUGACAAGUCACAAUCAAUACAUCAACCAGCGUGGGAGAGAGAAUUGUCUCUGGAAAGAUCUUGCACAGAAGAAUUGCAGCCGAAUCUGGAAUCAGACAUAG